RNAcentral lists this ribosomal RNA (253 nucleotides) under uncultured bacterium. RNAcentral's name for it is "partial 16S ribosomal RNA". It matches the Rfam family "Bacterial small subunit ribosomal RNA", at positions 524 to 776 of the family's 1533-position model. The record is from RNAcentral.
UACGUAGGGUGCAAGCGUUGUCCGGAAUUAUUGGGCGUAAAGAGCUCGUAGGCGGUUUGUCGCGUCUGCUGUGAAAACUCGGGGCUUAACUCCGGGCCUGCAGUGGGUACGGGCAGACUAGAGUGCGGUAGGGGAGACUGGAAUUCCUGGUGUAGCGGUGAAAUGCGCAGAUAUCAGGAGGAACACCGGUGGCGAAGGCGGGUCUCUGGGCCAUAACUGACGCUGAGACGACGAAGCGUGGGGAGCAAACAGG